CCUACGGGAGGCAGCAGUGGGGAAUUUUGGACAAUGGGCGCAAGCCUGAUCCAGCAAUGCCGCGUGCAGGAAGAAGGCCUUCGGGUUGUAAACUGCUUUUGUACGGAACGAAAAGGCUCUGGUUAAUACCUGGGGCUCAUGACGGUACCGUAAGAAUAAGCACCGGCUAACUACGUGCCAGCAGCCGCGGUAAU
Molecule: ribosomal RNA, 194 nt
Filed under: uncultured bacterium
Lineage: Bacteria
Description: partial 16S ribosomal RNA
Rfam family: Bacterial small subunit ribosomal RNA
Source: RNAcentral